CAUCGCACUACGCUGCACGCAUGCCAACAUAAGCACGUGUGGUGCAUACGCAGAGAUCACAUUCGACCCGGACACACCCACCUGUACGCGCACACACGCACCCGCGCGUGUGUGCGUGUGUGUGCGUUUUUCCACUUAUCUCUUUCUCUCUCUUGCAGGCCACGCGUGCGCGCGACUGACGCAUCGUCGUCGGGUUUUGGGGGUGGGGCGCCUGCACUCUUUUCGUGUUCUCGUCUCUCCCUGAUUUCGACGCGGGCGGUGCUGAGGGAAAGAAGGGGAGCCGGCGCUGACCAUCCCUCUUUCGAACCGCACCGUUAGCCCGGCGUCCACCAUCACUCACUUGCUUCUCCCUCGGUGCUGGUGUGCGUGUGCGCGCAUUGACGGUCUUUCUCGGUUAUUCUCAUCACUCCCCCUUCUAAUAGAGGCACACGCACGCGCGCGCGCGCAAACGCCAACCGUCACACGAAGCGACAUCCAGAAGAAGGGCGUCGGGCACAAAACUAUGGCGACGGCAAGCAUGCACAAGGAGGCGCUGGCGCUGCUCCAGCAGUACGCGAUCGAUUUGAAGGACUUCACUAAGGCCCGUGAACGCUACACCACCGUCAUAGAGAAGGAGCUCGUCCCACUUGCCCAGGAGGAGGACAACGUCGAUGUGCUUGCGGCUACGAGGGCUGCACAGGAGCAGGUGCGCGCGGCCUGGGAAGAGUACAUCGCUUCUGUACAGCAGUACUUCAACCGCGUUGUCCGGUCCACCGUCCGCGACCUGCUGGAUCCUGGAAGCUCCGUCAUUCCAGUCUCGACCGUCACCUCCAACGAAACCCUGGCGACGACAAGCUCAAAGGAUCGCUCGGAGAUAAAUUCAGGCCCUCUCGCCACUGCCACCGCGGUGAGCAGUGCCGAAUCGGGGCGGCUGUUGCCGUGCGCGAAUUCAGCGAACGUUCCCACGGUGGGCAACAGCGGCGGCGUCGGCGGCGAUGCCGUGGCCCAGCUGAGCAGACGCGCUGAGCGCAUGAGCGAUUUUUGCGCCGUAUGUGAAAAGUGGUACGUGAACAGCGAGGUGCUGUUCGAACUACCGGAGCCGCAGGCUCUGGCUGCUCUUGCGGCGUCUGCUUUAGCAUCUGUGAGUCGCCUUCUUCGCCUGCUGGGCAUGCGAAUGGCGUACGUGUGCGCCGGCAACAGCUUUUUCUUGCGCAGCUUCAUUGAGGAUGGGGAGGCCGUGCGCUGGGCCGCCUUCUGCGGUGACCGUGGAUUGAACGCAGAGGUGGAUGCGCUGCUGUCACUCAUGGAACGCCUGAUGCAGCUCAACAUCACCGACCCAAAGGCCUACCCGCGGGUGCCGUUUGGCUGGCUCUAUCGGCUAAGCUCCCUCUUGGAGCACCCGGACUCGGUAGCCAGCGCUUCGCCAAAGCGGCGCAGCGUCGCCGUCCGCAUCGCUCUUCAGCUUCUCCGCCACCAACCGGACCAAGCAACGGCGGCGGGACUUCACAGUGUUCUACUGAACGCGUGCAUUGAGCCGAACGGCUGCGUCACCCCGGACGAGGCGCAGCAGGUGGUGCAGACAUUCCUGAACCUCUUCGACGCCCCCAGCACGCGCCAGUACCUCAAGCCGACGGAUCUGCGCACCAUCUUCGCGCCUUUUCUGUCCACCGCCGAGUCCGGCGGUACGGACCUCUUGACAAUGCAGAACAACGCCAAGGAACUCAUCGUGACUGUCUUUUCUAACUGCGUCGGAAGCUUGUGGAUCAGCUCCGAGGUGACGGAGCUGCGCUCCAUCAUUGAUGUCCUGCACCUGCCGGGGCCACUCGACACGAAGAUGGUCAUCAUCACCCUCUUCAACAAGCUGCUCACGCGCCUCGCUCCACAUCGCGGGAUCGUUCCCAUGGACACCUGGAAGGGCUUUGAGGAGGACCGCCUGCGCAAGGCCGCCCGCGAUGCUGAGGAGCAGGCCAUGGAGGCGAACGGCGGCGGCGGUGACGUGUGCAACGACACACAGUACCUGAACAACAACAGUUUCAUGUGCGACUUCACGCUGACCGACUCCACCGGCGAUGCGGCGCUCUUCGACGACUUCAUUCCUACAACCAAGGCUCUUGGCUACCACGUCAUGGACCCCUUGCUGGGCCGCGUUCUCGUCUGCCUUAACUACCACGGCCUUCCCUACGCCCUCACGCAGCUUAUGCAGAAUGUUAACAAGAACCGAGUCGUCACGGCAGCCGCUUCGAGCCUCUUGCAAGACAUCUUCGUGCUGAUGGACACGGUGCUGCCGCAGGUGAUCGUCUUCAAGCUGCACGAGGCCUUCAACAAAGCCGUUGGCCGCCUCGCCAACGACGGCAGCCUGUUUGUUGGUGGUCUCACUUCGCAGCUCUUCCGAAGCUAUAAGAAGAACAGCGGCAUCGGCGGCGGUGCUAGCAUGAUGCCGGCCAGCACGACGCAGAUGCCGAACACUGCCCUGAACACACCCGGCACGCUGGACGUCGACGACCCGACCUUCGCCACGAUGCUGCGUGAUUGCAAGGUGGAUCGAAUGAAGGGCUGCCAGACGUGGAACUUUGACAUCUUAGUGACCCUGGUGCAGGGCCCGCUGCACCUUCCGCGGCGAUUCCGCGCUGCGCGAGAGCUGAUGGAGAGUCUCGUGCUCUUCUUUACACCGUCGUCACACUCCAGCACGUCGCAGAUUUGUUCCACCUUCAGCACACAGCCGCCCGACACGGUAUCCCCGCAGGUGUGCAUGGUGGGAGUGGAGCUGAUCGACCUUAUACUGAGCUCUCGCGACGGUGCGGCGCUGCUCGAGCGCAUGGGCUUCGUUGCGGCCGUGGCGGCGAUGCUGAAGGAGGUGCGAGUCGGCAAGCCCGUAGUACUGCGGCGUGCUGUGGUCAACACAUGCAUCGGGCGGUCGCUGCUGCGCAUAACUGGUCGUCUGUCCGCGCACGCGAAUGGCCUGCUGCUCAUGCGAGACCACGGCAUCUUCUCGCUCGUGGACAGCAUGUUCUCAAAGCUCAGGGGCCCUCGGCUGGAGAGCCCGGCCGAAGAGGACACCCUGCAGGAUGUGUGCUACCAGCUCCUGCAGUAUUUGUACCUUGGCGCGGUGCCCAACUACGGUGUCUGCAAAGACAUCCGGCAAACCUUCCGCGCGGCGCUGGGUAACCCGAGCAGCACGAUCCGCCUCUGCGCGGCGCAGCAGCUGAAGAAAGCAGUCUGGCGCGACCUGUCCACUUCCAUGAAGUGGGGCAUCAAAACGCUCCUGCAGGCGCUGCACGACGACUUCUUCAGUGUAAUCGAAAGCGCCUUUAAGUUGCUGCUGAGCAUCUGCCUCUGCUCCGACGAGGGCCUCGACUACUUGAUCGAGUGCUUUCCAACGGUGCUGAUGGAGAGCGAGAUGAUCCUCAGCCAUGCGAAGCAGCUGCGGCUCAACGUGCUGCUAUACCGGAUCGCUAGUCGUCCGUCGGGCUUUCGCUUUCUUCAAUGCUACGGCUGGCUGGAGAAGGAGCUGCGUCGGUGGGAGGAGUCCGAGUCGGUGCAGUACACCAUUAUGCUAGAGCGCCUGCAGUCCUGCGACGACAGUGCUGCGGUUGCGGGGUUGCCGGGCGGCGCGGGCGGUGUGCUCAUGUCAUCCACCAGCGAUCCGUCGUGCCGGCACACCCACUCCUACUCGGACACCCUUGGCGGCAUGUACGGCCGCAUGACGGGCAAUACGGUGUAUCUGCCGCUUCUGACCGCCGCGGACGCCUCCAGCACAAAGUUCUUCCCCGUGCACUUCGCCUCCGUCUUGUGUAGCUCAGUUGAGGGCUGCGCGAUGUUCAAGCACAGUAAGCUGUGGACACGCUCUGUGCAACGCUUGCUGGAGCAGCCGCUGCCGCCGGAUAUCGUCUACGACGACUCCCUCAGCGACGAGGACGACUUGCUGUCGCAGAACAGCAGCGACGGCGAGUUUGGCUUGACGACCGACGCUGCGCGGUACAUGCGUCAGCAGCAGCAAGCCCAGCAGCGGCAGCAGCAGGUGCACCCAAGCACGAACACGGCCUACUACAGCGGCGGCAUAGGGGGCACGUCUGUUCCAGCCCUUGGCGCCCUAGCCAACUCUUCGAGUGUGCCGCGCUACAGCGCUGCGGGCGACGGCCCGGGCAACUCUCUGAGCGUUGCCCGGGUGCGCGAUGGUCUGCGCGGCGGGCCGGGCACCUCCCUCGGCAACAACAACGCUGGGGGUGGCGUUAAUGGCAACGCCAGCACGGCCACUGCGAACGGCAGUGGUGGCUUCUGUGGCUUCGGCGUUGCUGAUCAGUCGAGCAUCGCCACCGCGAAGGAGAUCGAGACGCUCAAGAAGGGCUACCUGUCUGCGCCGUCGUCGAAGAUUAUUUCAGCCUCGCGCUUCUGCAAAUCGUCCGGCCAGUCCUUCUCCCUGGACUGCGUGGGCGACAUCGUGGCCUUGAAGGACGCCAUUUUGUGCGUUGCAGAGGUCGGCUCGACAGAGGUGGGUUACGGCAUGCUGCUCUCGGUGCCUGGCCUGCAGCGGCGCUUCAUCGCUCUCUCUCGCUUCGCUUCCACGAUCUCUGUGCGCUGCAUGGGGCUUCUGGGGAGCGCAAUUCUGGCUCGCUCGCGGCGUGGCGGCGACGACCUCGUGAAGAAGGGGUACUCGGUGCUGCUGAACCCGAACGCGUACGUCAGCGCCGAGGGCAUCCCGUACUCGGUGUCCUUUGCCCAAAUGAAGCCGUCCAAGUGGGUCUCCAUUGCGUGCAUGGCGGCACCCAACAAUACGACGGCCCGCCACGCUCACGCGGACUCCAUUGCGCCCCCCAGCACUCAGGAAGUACCGCAGCGCAUCCUGGACAACUUGUACGCCUUGUCAAACCCGGUCAGCUGCGAAAACGCCAAGAAGAUGUUGUACAAGAUCAUGAAGAGGAGGCCGCAGCUCUUUCUCCAACCGCAGGUGCGCCGCCUCUGCCUGGAAAUUUCCUUCACUUACCGCAUGCACUACAAGGAGCGCCGCUUUCUCGCCGGCUUGCUGGAGAAUGCGCAGCUGACCGCUGGCACUUCCACAGACCCAAAGCCGCCGCGGAUGCAAGCCCUCAAGCCCUCUUCCUAGGUAGAAAGAGAAGGUAGGAGAGUCAGCCGGGCGAUAAAGAGGGGAUGGAGGCGGGGGCUCGUUUCUGCGCCUGUUCCCGCACGUGUGUCUCUAUGGGCGCGUCUUUUUUUGUGUGUGUCUGUGUGCCCUCCCGGUACCCUUUAGUCUCCAUGUAGAUUCGUGCCCCGCUUACCGCCGCCUUGUAUUGUGGGGGCAGGGCUGCUGUCGAGCAAGACGGCUUUCAUGACUUGUGCCUGCUCUCUCUCUCUCUUGUGCGUCUGUGUGAAUCGAAUACGCCCCCUCGUCUCUCUCUCUCUGUGCCGCCCCAUUCGCCUACCCCCCUCCCACGCCUCCUUUUUUUUUAGUUUGCUACUUGUUAGUGCUUUGCUGUGCUGUGUAGGUGUGGGAGCAUGCAUGCACACACAUGUGUGUGCGUGUGUGUCUGUGUGCAUGCAUGCGCCUGCUUCGGUGUACAUGGCGCCUUUGUUGCGCGCGCGCUCUUCCUCCAUGAUGGCUGUGUGCAUGCUGGCGUGUGCCGUGGACUCAUCAACGUUCUCGUGACCC
RNAcentral lists this unclassified non-coding RNA (5623 nucleotides) under Leishmania donovani. RNAcentral's name for it is "gene:LdHU3.23.2010(CDS-product:Rapamycin-insensit ive_companion_of_mTOR_N-/Rapamycin-insensitive_companion_of _mTOR_middle_domain/Rapamycin-insensitive_companion_of_mTOR _RasGEF_N_domain_containing_protein_putative)". The record is from RNAcentral. Lineage: Eukaryota; Euglenozoa; Kinetoplastea; Trypanosomatida; Trypanosomatidae.